AGAUUGAAAGUUUCAGGAAAGGGAUUCAAGAAGUCACCUAGUCCAUCCCCCUGCACUGAAAAAAAUGAUGCUGGAAUGCUGAUGGCUUAAGACAACUUUUUGGCAUGAAGAGAGCUACAAAGCACAAAAAACAAAAUAUGAACUCAGAAAGAAACAAGAAGAAAUCAGCGUUUUCAUGGCAUCGACAAGAAGCUCUUUAUUUUUCCUCAAGUUUUCUUUUCUAAAAAAAAUGGAACUAAAACAUUUGCAGAAACAAGACAAACUUUCUCUUCAGGUGACAAUAUUCAAGCAUGUUCUUUUACUAAAUUUAAAUUGAAAGAAAAAAAUUUUUUGAACAGGAUGCAGUAUCAGGAGAACUGUGAACCUUGAAAGACAACAAAACAAACUCUUUAAAACUGUGAACCAAGAAAUGGAAGGAACAACUUUUAAACCUCUUAUUACACCCUGUGUGUUCUUAAGGAGACAACAUCAUCUUUUCCUAAAGCAACAAUAUUUAGGGAAUGGUUUGCAACAUACCUUUUAUUAUAAUCUUUUAAGGAAAACCUGCAUAUUUAAUAAUUAGCAGUGGAGUAACUCUGACUUUACCA
Long non-coding RNA from Dermochelys coriacea (leatherback sea turtle), 587 nucleotides. RefSeq lists it as uncharacterized. NCBI's taxonomy places the organism in Eukaryota, Metazoa, Chordata, Testudines, Dermochelyidae. The record is from RefSeq and is a predicted model, not a curated record. The transcript is spliced from 2 exons.